Molecule: transfer RNA, 76 nt
Filed under: Bacillota bacterium
Lineage: Bacteria; Bacillati; Bacillota
Also listed under: 3 other names
Description: tRNA-Thr
Rfam family: tRNA
About the family: Transfer RNA (tRNA) molecules are approximately 80 nucleotides in length.
Source: RNAcentral
GCUGUUGUAGCUCAGCAGGUAGAGCGCAUCCUUGGUAAGGAUGAGGUCGGCAGUUCGAGUCUGCUCAACAGCUCCA